RNAcentral lists this ribosomal RNA (253 nucleotides) under uncultured bacterium. RNAcentral describes it as "partial 16S ribosomal RNA". It matches the Rfam family "Bacterial small subunit ribosomal RNA", at positions 524 to 776 of the family's 1533-position model. The record is from RNAcentral.
UACGUAGGGACCAAGCGUUGUUCGGAUUUACUGGGCGUAAAGGGCGCGUAGGCGGCGUGGUAAGUCACUUGUGAAAUCUCUGAGCUUAACUCAGAACGGUCAAGUGAUACUGCUGUGCUAGAGUGCAGAAGGGGCAAUCGGAAUUCUUGGUGUAGCGGUGAAAUGCGUAGAUAUCAAGAGGAACACCUGAGGUGAAGACGGGUUGCUGGGCUGACACUGACGCUGAGGCGCGAAAGCCAGGGGAGCAAACGGG